UUGAAUUGAUCCCUUUACCAUUAUGCAAUGGCCUUCUUUGUCUCUUUUGAUCUUUGUUGGUUUAAAGUCUGUUUUAUCAGAGACUAGGAUUGCAAUCCCUGCCUUUUUUUGUUUUCCAUUUGCUUGGUAGAUCUUCCUCCAUCCCUUUAUUUUGAGCCUAUGUGUGUCUGCGCACGUGAGAUGGGUUUCCUGAAUAUAGCACACUGAUGAGUCUUGACUUUUUAUCCAAUUUGCCAGUCUGUGUCUUUUAAUUGGAGCAUUUAGCCCAUUUACAUUUAAGGUUAAUAUUGUUAUGUGUGAAUUUGAUCCUGUCAUUAUGAUGUUAGCUGGUUAUUUUGCUCGUUAGUUGAUGCAGUUUCUUCCCAGUCUCGAUGGUCUUUACAAUUUGGCAUGUUUUUGCAGUGGCUGGUACCGGUUGUUCCUUUCCAUGUUUAGUGCUUCCUUCAGGAGCUCUUGUAGAGCAGGCCUGGUGGUGAGAAAAUCUCUCAGCAUUUGCUUGUCUGUAAAGGAUUUUAUUUCUCCUUCACUUCUGAAGCUUAGUUUGGCUGGACGUGAAAUUCUGGGUUGAAAAUUAUUUUCUUUAAGAAUGUUGAAUAUUGGCCCCCACUCUCUUCUGGCUUGUAGAAUUUCUGCCGAGAGAUCAGCUGUUAGUCUGAUGGGCUUCCCUUUGUGGGUAACCUGACCUUUCUCUCUGGCUGCCCUUAACAUUUUCUCCUUCAUUUCACCUUCGGUGAAUCUGAGAAUUAUGUGUGUUGGAGUUGCUCUUCUUGAGGAUUAUCUUUGUGGCAUUCUCUGUAUUUCCUGAAUCUGAAUGUUGGCUUGCCUUGCUAGACUGGGGAAGUUCUCCUGGAUAAUAUCCUGCAGAGUGUUUUCCAACUUGGUUCCAUUCUCCCCGUCACUUUCAGGUACACCAAUGAGACGUAGAUUUGGUCUUUUCACAUAGUCCCAUAUUUCUUGGAGGCUUUGUUUGUUUCUUUUUAUUCUUUUUUCUCUAAACUUCUCUUCUCUCUUCAUUUCAUUCAUUUGAUCUUCCAUCACUGAUACCCUUUCUUGCAGUUGAUCGAAUCAGCUACUGAGGCUUGUGCGUUCGUCACGUAGUUCUCGUGCCUUGGUUUUCAGCUCCAUCAGGUCCUUUAAGGACUUCUCUGCAUUGGUUAUUCUAGUUAGCCAUUCGUCUAAUCUUUUUUCAAGGUUUUUAACUUCUUUGCUAUGGGUUUGAACUUCCUCCUUUAGCUCGGAGUAGUUUGAUCGUCUGAAGCCUUCUCUCAACUUGUCAAAGUCAUUCUCCAUCCAGCUUUGUUCCGUUGCUGGUGAGGAGCUGCGUUCCUUUGGAGGAGGAGAGGAGCUCUGAUUUUUAGAUUUUUCAGUUUUUCUGCUCUGUUUUUUCCCCAUCUUUGUGGUUUUAUCUACUUUUGGUCUUUGAUGAUGGUGACAUACAGAUGGGGUUUUGGUGUGGAUGUCCUUUCUGUUUGUUAGUUUUCCUUCUAACAGUCAGGACUCUCAGCUGCAGGUCUGUUGGAGUUUGCCAGAGGUCCACUCCAGACCCUGUUUGCCUGGGUAUCAGCAGCGGAGGCUGCAGAACAGCGGAUAUUGGUGAACAGCAAAUCUUGCUGCCUGAUCGUUCCUCUGAAAGUUUUGUCUCAGAGGAGUACCCGGCCGUGUGAGGUGUCAGUCUGCCCCUACUGGGGGGUGCCUCCCAGUUAGGCUACUCGGGGGUCAGGGACCCACUUGAGGAGGCAGUCUCUCCGUUCUCAGAUCUCCAGCUGCGUGUGGGGAGAACCACUACUCUCUUCAAAGCUGUCAGACAGGGACAUUUAAGUCUGCAGAGGUUUCUGCUGCCUUUUGUUUGGCUAUGCCCUGCCUCCAGAGGUGGAGUCUACAGAGGCAGGCAGGUCUCCUUGAGCUGCAGUGGGCUCCACCCAGUUUGAGCUUCCCAGCUGCUUUGUUUACCUCCUCAAGCCUCAGCAAUGGCGGGCGCCCCUCCCCCAGCCUCUGUGCCGCCUUGCAGUUCAAUCUCAGAUUGCUGUGCUAGCAAUGAGUGAGGCUCCAUUGGCGUAGGACCCUCCAAGCCAUGUGCAGGAUAUAAUCUCCUGGUGUGCCGUUUGCUAAGACUGUCGGAAAAGCGCAGUAUUAGGGUGGGGGUGACCCGAUUUUCCAGGUGCCGUCCGUCACCCCUAGGAAAGGGAAUUCCCCUACCCCUUGCACUUCCUGGGUGAGGCAAUGCCUCGCCCUGCUUCGGCUCAGGCUCGGUGCACUGCACCCAGUGUCCCGCACCCACUGUCCUGCACCCACUGUCCGACAGUCCCCAGUGAGAUGCACCCAGUACCUCAGUUGGAAAUGCAGAAAUCAUUCGUCUUCUGCAUUGCUCAUGCUGGGAGCUGCAGACUGGAGCUGUUCGUAUUCGGCCAUCUUGGCUCCACCUCAGUCACUUUUCUUUUGUUGCUUUCAAAAUUCUCUUUGCAAUUUUGACAAUAUGUGAUUAUAGUAUGACUCUAUAUAGGUUUUGCUGAGAUUAUUUUUAUUGGAGUUUGUUGAGCUUCUUGAAUUUGUAUGGCAAUUUCUUUCCUCAAAUUUGGGAAAUUUGGGGUCUGAUAUGGGUUGGCUGUGUCUCACCCAAAUCUCAUCUUGAAUUGUAACUCUCACAAUUCCCAUGUGUUGUGGGAGGAACCUGGUGGAGGUGAUUGAAUUAUAAGGGUGGGUCUUUCCUGUGAUGUUCUCAUGAUGGUGAGUGAGUCUCAUGAGAUCUGAUGGUUUUUAAAAAAACGGGAGUUUUCCUGCACAAGCUCUCUUCUCUUGUCUGCUACAAUGUGAGAUGCGCCUUUCACCUUUCGCCAUGAUUGUGAGGUCUCCCCAGCCACAUGGAACUGUAAGUCCAAUAUAUCUCUUUCUUUUGUAAACUGCCCAGCCUCAGGUAUGUCUUUAUCAGCAGCAUGAAAACAGACUAAUACAGGGUCAUUAUUUCUUCAAGUAGGAUCUCAAUGCUGUCUCUCUUCUAUGUUUGGGAUAUCCGUAGUCCAUAUGUUGUUUCAUUCGAUGUUGUCCCAUAAGCUCCUUAAGUUCCCUUCAUUUUUCUUCAUUUUUUUCCCUCUGACUCAAUAAUUUCAAAUGAACUGUUUUCAAAGUUACUGACUCUUUCUUCUCUUUGAUCAAGUAUGAACCCUCCAGUCAAUUUUUCCAUUCAGUUAUUAUAUUCUUCAGCUCCAGAAUUUUCAUUUGGUUCUUUUCUAUAGUUUCUGUCUCUUUGUUGAUACCCUCAUUUUGUACAUGCAUUGUUUUCCUGAUUUUGUUUUGUGGUGUAUGUUCUCUUUUAGCUCAUUGAGCAUCUUUAGGAUGAUUAUUUUGGAUUAUUUGUCAGGUAAUUAAGAGAUCUCCAUAUCUUUAGGGUCAGUUUCUAGAGAUUUAUUGUAUUUAUUUGGGCCAUGUUUCUCCGCUUCUUUGUAUGCUUGCAAUCUUUUUUUAAGCGUUGGGCAUUUCAGGCUGGCUUUAUACAGGGUAAGACCUUCACCAGUCAACCCGCUAGAGAUUCUAGGGCUUUUUCUAACUUCUUUUUGGCAAUAAGUCUUUUCUGGGCUGUGGAUAUAAUUCCUCAAAGGUUUGCUUGCCUCUUUUCUGCAGCCCAUAAUCUCUUGCUCCCCUUGGUGUCUGUCUGUGGUACUACAGUCUUAUUGUUGCCAUAACAAGCUGUGGCACUCACCUUUGAUCUCAGUGACCCCAGCCUGGCAUUUAAACCGCUGUUUCCAUCAGCACUCCAAGUCAGGAGAGAUAGAAAUCUGCUCCUUGGGCGAACUGUCAAAAGGCCUGCGCAUUGGACUCAUGGUUGGUUCCCUUCUCUUUUUCUCUCUUGAGGGAGAAGAGGAUUGGAAAUUUUCUUCCAAUUAUACCACAGUGUGCUAGGGAUAAUAGGUAGGGUGACAAAUAAUCUCUCCUUGGCCACACUUUAGUCAGAUUCCUCUGAACCCUCUACUUAACCAGGACUUGACCUUUGAGCUCCUGUAUUCAUCUUUGCAUCACAAAACUAUUUCUUGCAGUUUUAGCAAGAAUCCUCCACUCUUGACAUCUAAUCAAAUUCAUCAUCCUCCACCAUCCUCCAGAUGACAUUCGAUCAUCCUGGUCUGCCUUCAGCAAGAAUCCUGUCAAAUCAGUUUUACCAGAAUGUCACCCUUCCCUUGACGUUGCCUCUUAGUAAUUUUCCAUCCAAUGCCCGCCUCUACCCCCACCCCACCACCACCCUGCACUCUGCUCUUUGACUGUAAAUCCCCACUUGUCUUGCUGUAACUAUGACAAUUGUCCUUGCUGUUCUCUACCAGUGGCAAGUAAAAUGCCACACCGUUUCCUACCUGUUUCAUUGCAUCUCUUGGCUUUGUGCACCUUUGGGUGCUGCAAACUCUCAACUGGUUUUUGGAGUUCUCAGGCAAUUUUGUCCAUAUGAUGUUGUUAAGUUGAUGUCUCUAUGGGAGAAUGAGGGUCUGGGGUUUCCUAUUCUCCAUCUUGCUUAUAUCACUCAGCACACUGUUACUUCAUAAGUACAUCAAAACUGGACUUUUUUGUUUUGUUUUUUUGGAGAUGGAGUCUCACUCUGUUGCCCAGGCUGGAGUGGAGUGAUGCGAUCUCGGCUCACGGCAACCUCCACCUCUUGGGUUCAAGCAAUUCUCCUGCCUCAGCCUCCCAAGUAGCUGGUAUUACAGGCGCACGCCAUCAUGCCUGGGUAAUUUUUGUAUUUUUAGUAGAAACGGGGUUUCACCAUGUUAGCCAGGCCGAUCUCAAACUCCUGACCUCAGGUGAUCCACCUACCUGGGGCCUUCCAAAGUGCUGGGAUUACAGGCGUGAGCCACCACGCCCGGCCCAAAACUGGACUUUUUUGAUCUUCCUCUCCAAAACCUGCUUUACCACGGUGUUCCUUAAACAACAGAAAGACAACACCUGCUGCCAUACAGUACUUAAACUAGAAACUUAGGAAUCAUCCUUACCUCUGCCCUCUCCUGCCAUGUCAAAUUAUUAACCAAGUAUUCUUGAUUUUGCUUCAUAAAUAGUUAUCAAAUCUGCCCCCAUCUCUUUACUGCCACACAAAGCCAUCCCUUUUCAUUUGGAUGAUUAUUAACAGUCUCUUUAGGCCGGGCGCGGUGGCUCACAACUGUAAUCCCAGCACUUUGGGAAGCUGAGGCGGGCGGAUUACAAGGUCAGGAGAUCGAGACCAUCCUGGCUAACACAGUAAAACCCCGUCUCUACUAAAAAUACAAAAAAUUAGCUGGGCAUGGUGGCGGGCGCCUGUAGUCCCAGCUACUUGGGAGGCUGAGGCAGGAGAAUGGCAUGAACCCGGGAGGCGGAGCUUGCAGUGAGCUGAGAUCCUGCCACUGCACUGCAGCCUGGGCGACAGAGUGAGACUCCGUCUCAAAAAAAACAAAAACAAAAAAGCAGUCUUUUUUUUUUUUUUUUUUAAACAGGGUCUUACUCUGUCUCCCAGCCUGGAGUGCAGUGGUGUGUGAUCACAGUUCACUGCAACCAUGACCUCCUGGGCUCUAACAAUCCUCCCACCUCAGCCUACCUAGUAGCUGGGACUAUAGGCAUGCAGCAUGGUGCCUGGUUAAUUUUUUUAACUUUUGCUGACAUGAUGUCUCACUAUGUUAUGUUGCCUAGGCUGGUCUCAAACUCCUGACCUCAAGCAAUCUUCCCACUUCGGCCUUUAAAAUCACGCUGGGAUUACAGGCGUGAGCCACCAUGCCUGGUUUAUAACAAUCUCUUAAUUGGCUUUCCUGACUUUAACUCCUUCAAUUUAAUCUCCAUAGUGUAGGUAGAGCAAUUCUAAAAUGCAUAUGUGGCCCUGUCAUUCUGCCACUUAAAACCUUUCAGUGUCUCUCUACUGUCUUAGAAAUAAAUUCUAGCCUCUUUUACAAAGGUUACACAGCUAUUUAUUGUUUACAAUCCCCUGCUCACCCCUCCAGACUCACAAAACAAAUAGUUAUUUGGUCCAAAAUGUCAAUAAUGUGUGUCAGGGUUGAGAAAUCUAGUCCUAGAGGAUGGGCUCCAGAAAAUGAAGGAGUCAGCCAUGAAAGAGGAAGAAACGGAACCCCCACAAUAAGAGAUCCAACAGGAGAAGGAAGCAAAAGAAAUCCCCAGGAUUUAUACAUUAUAAAUUAAGAGCAGUGACCAACACCAAGUUAUUCCUGCUGCUGUUGGACAUCUCCAACUUUGAAGGCUUCCACAUUAGCCUGGUGCUUAUCUUUCCUUCUUUCAUUUUCCUAAUGGUUAGGCUAUUCCUGUGCCCACUGUCAGUGGUGACGGGGCAGCCUGAGAAUCAUAUUCUGGGAUUUCUGUCAGCUUUAGCCUUGGAGCUGGUCCAGAGAGGAACAAACUUCAGAUGCUCUGAAAGUCUUAAUAUGGGCCAGGCAUGGUGGCUCACACCUGUAAUCUCAGCACUUUGGGAGUCCAAGGCAGGCACACUGCUUGAGCCCAGGCGUUUGAGACCAGCCUGGGCAAGAUGGUGAGACCCCAUCCCUACAGAAAAAUACAAAAAAUCAGCUGGGAUAGUGGCACAUGCCGGUAGUCCCAGCUACUCAGGAGGCUGAGGUGGGAGGAUCACCUGAGCUUGGGAGGUUGAGGCUUUAGUGAGCCAUGAUAAUGCUAUUGCACUCCAGCCUGGGUGACAGAUUGAGACUCGGUCUCAAAAAAAAAAAAAAGAAAAAGGAAUAGAAAGUCACAAUCUGAAAUCGAUGGGACUGAGAGCCUCUCACAUAGAAAAGUUGAUCCUGCUGAAAAAGUGGAUUAAAAAGGAAUUUAGGGUCUUGCUUGUUGGUUGCUUCUGUCCGUGGAGUCUUGCAUUUCAGUUUCCCUAUUAGGAGGCUGGAUUGGUAAAAGCCUACCCUGAGUGCCAGACUAGUCUGGGAGGAGUCUUACUACCGGGUUGUUGAGGCUCUUGUUUACACCUUGGGGAAACAGGCUUCCUGUAACUCUACCUGACUAUUCUAGCAGACUUAGAAUAGAUGACGGGGGAGUGGACAGCUGGCAGCCAAUAGCACCACUCUGUCUCUGCAACUGUAAAACUAAAUUAACCAGGAAUUUAUCUGAGAGCUGUUGGGGUCUAGAAAAAGAACAUCAGAACAAACCUAAAGAAAUUGACAAAAAGGAAUAAUGAAGAUAAAACAAAAUAAGGAAUUAAAGGAAAAAGUCAAAUAGCAAUAGAUUGCUAGGUAAAACCAAGGGCUUAUUCCAAAAAAUAAACAAACCCUUGGUAAACCUGAGCAAGGAACAAUUAAGAGAACCCAGGCGGGGCACGGUGGCUCACACCUGUAAUCCUAGCACUUUGGGAGGCUGAGGCGGGUAGAUUGCCUGAGCUCAGGAGUUCGAGGCCAGCCUAGGCAACAUGGUGAAACCCCAUCUAUACUAAAAUACAAAAAAUUAGCCGGGCGUGGCAGCAUACACGUGAAGUCUCAGCGACUCAGGAGGCUGAGGCAGGAGAAUUGCUUGAAUCCAGGAGGCAGAGGUUGCAGUGAGCCAAGAUUGUGCCACUGCACUCCAGCCUAGGACAGAGCGAGACUCCGUCUCAAAAAAAAAAAAAAAAAAAAAAAAAGAGAGAAAACCCAAAUACAGAACACCAGAUAUGAAGAAGGGGGAAAAUACAUAUAUGAAUGAAAUUAAAGAAUUAUAAGAGGCCAGACAUGGUGGCUCAUGUCUGUAAUCUCAAUACUUUGGGAGGCUGAGGCAGAAGCAUCACUUGAGGCCAGGAGUUAGAGACCAGCCUGGGCAACAUAGCGUGAUCCUGCCUCUUCAAAUAAAAUAAAUUAGCCAGGCAUGGUGGUGCAUGCCUGUAGUCCCAGCUACUUGGGAGGCUGAAGCAGGAGGAUCACUUGAGCCCAGGAGUUUGAUGCUACAGUAAGCCGUGAUCGUGGCACUGCAAUCAGCAAGACCCUGUCUCAAAACAAACAAACAAAAAAACCCAAGCCGAUUUAUAAGAUAAUUCCAUAUACAACUUUAUGCCCAUACAUUUCAAAAUCUCAGUGAAAUGAACAGAUUUCUGGGAAAAUAAAUAAAUUAUCAAAAUUAGAACAAGAUGUAAAAAGCCUGAAUAACCUCAUAAUCUGUAGGGGAACUGCUCCAUGAUGGCCCUGGUCACCUUGCACUGUCAUCAUAGGACAUACGGGCAAAAGCUUAAACCACAGCUAUCCUGAGUCCUGUGAUACUCCUGGAACACAAAAGGAUGGGGCUUGAGAGGAGCUGCCAUGGGGCUUCUCCCACCUGCCUCCUUUUCCCCACCAAGGAUGCUGCCAGAGAGUUUCUUGUGGCCAUCCAGUUCUGAUGAGGUCUAAGGCUCAGGCUAAAAAUCUCUGCAGCUGCAGUCUAACAUCAGCUCCUCAGCAACGUGGUUAUCUCACAACUCAUUUCACAGUGAUCUAGCUCCUUUUGCUUCCAUGUUCAUUUUGGGGUGUGGGACAAGGACCAUGGGGAACUGACAUAUUUGACUACCCUUCCUUUUGCUGUUUAUGUAAGUAAUAAACCAUCUAAAUCUAAAGAGGGGCCGGGUGUGCUGUCUCACACCUGUAAUCCCAGCACUUUGGAGGCUGAGGUAGGCGGAUCAUUUGAGGUCAGGAGUUGGAGACCAGCCUGGCCAACAUGGUGAAACCCCAUCUCUACUAAAAAUACAAAAAUUCGCUGGUCCUAGUGGCAGGCACCUGUAAUCCCAGCUACUUGGGAGGCUUGAGCUCUGGAGGCGGAGGUUGCAGUGAGCCAAGAUCGCACCACUCUACUCUAACAUGGGCAUCAGAGCAAGACUGUUUCAAAAAAGUUAAAGAAAUUAAAGAAAAAUAAAUCUAAAGAAGGCUUGUUACGUCUUUCCUGGCUGGAUCUGUUAGGUGAUUUGGUCUUGCCUGCCCUGUGCUUGACAUAUUCACAGCAGAUCAACUGUCUUUUCUUGGUUGGCCAGAUUAAGUUAUUUAAAAGAUUGCAAGUGCCCAGUAGCACAGAGAGCAUGGGUAAACACAUACUUCCUUACAUAUUACUGGAAACAAAUACAGUUGGUCCUCCAACUGCAGAUCAUUAUGCGUAUGAUGGUUGCAUCUGUACUGACCCAUGUACACACUUUUUUUCUUGUCAUUAUUCUGUAAACAAUACAGUAUAACAAGUAUUUACAUAGCAUUUACAUUGGAUUAGCUAUUAUAAGUAAUCUAGAGAUGAUUAAAAUAUAUGGGAGGAUGUUCAUAGGUUAUAUGCAAAUAGUACACCGUUUUGUAUCAGGGACUUGAGCAUCUUUGAAGUUUGGUGUCUGCAGGACAUUCUGAAACUAAUUGCCCGUGGACAUCAAGGGAGAUUAUACAAGUGAAACAAAAUUUGGCAAUAGCUAUUGUCUUUGUCUGUUUUCUGUUGCUUAUAACAGAAUACCUGAAAAUGGGUAAUCUAUAAACAAAUAAAAUUUAUUUCUUACAGUUCUAGAGGCUGGAUCCAAGGUUAAGGGAGGGGCAUCUAGUGAGGGCCUUCUUGCUGGUGGGGACUCUCUCCAGAGUCUCAAGGCAGUGCAAGGCAUCACCUGGCAGGAGGCAACACGUGCCAGCUGAGGUUUCUCUUCCCCCCUUACAAAGCCACUAGUCCCACUCCCAUGGUAAGCCAUUAACUCAUUAAUCCAUUAAUCCAGAAUGGAUUAAUCCAUUUAUGAGGGACACGCCCUCAUAAUUCAAUCACCUCUUAAAGGCCCUGCUUCAUGUGAAAUGAGUUUGGGAAAGAAAAAACAUUCAAACAGUAACAUCUAUCGAAAUUUAAAUCACUACUUUCUUUCACUCAUAAAUUCUACUAAUAAGAAUUUCACUUCUAGAAAUUUAUCUUACAGAAAUAUAGACACACACACAUGCACUAUAUAUAUCACAGUUUAUACGUAGCACCAUAUAUUAUAUAUGUAGCAGUUGUAAAACAAUAUGCAAUAGAGCCCAUUUUAAAGAUUAUGUUCACAUGGGGUCAGGCACAGUGGCUCACGCCUGUAAUCUCAGCACUUUGAGAGGCCGAGACAGGUGGGUCACUUGAGGUCAGGAGUUUCAGACCAGCCUGGGCAACAUGGCAAAACCUCAUCUCUACAAAAAUACAAAAAUUAGCCAGGCGUAGUGGCCUGUGCCUGUAGUCCCAGCUACCCAGGAGACUGAGGUGGGAGGAUCACUUGAGCCCAGGAGUUCAAGGUUGUACUGAGCUAUGACCAUACCACUGCACUCCAGCCCGAAUGACCAAAAAAAAAAAAAAAAAGAUUAUGUGUGUGUUGGUGCUUCUAUGUGUAUAGGCUAAAAAUUUGUGAUGUCAUAUUACAAAUUGGUUAUCUUUGAUGAAUGGGAACUUUAUUUCUAAAAUAUAUAUGGUGUAUAUAUGUAUAUAGUAUUUUAGUGUGUAUAUAUAUAUGUAUAUAUAUAUACACACUAAAAUAGUAUAUACUGAAAUGGCAUAUAUAUAUAUUAGAGACAGGGUCUUGCUCUGUUGCCUAGGCUGGAGUGUAGCAGCAGGAUCAUAGCUCAUUGCACCAUGAAACUCCUGGCUUUAAACAUUCCUCCCACCCUGGCCUCUCGAAGUGUUGGAAUUGGUGUGAGCCAUGGUGCCCAACAUUUUUUUUUUAGAGACAGGAUCUGAUAUGGUUAGCCUUUGUGUCCUCACCGAAAAUCUCAUCUUGAAUUGUAUUCCUCAUAAUCCCCACGUGUCAAGGGAAGAGUCAGGUGGAGGUAAUUGAAUCCUGGGGGCAGUUUCCCCCAUGCUGUUCUCAUGAUAGUGAGUGAAUUCUCACGAGAUCUGAUGGUUUUAUAAGGGGCUCUCCCCUGCUUCGCUCGUCUCUUCUUCCUGCUGCCUUGAGAAGGUGCCUGACUUCCUCUUUGCCUUCCACCAUGAUUGUAAGUUUCCUGUUGGGAACAGGCCCCCCGACAUCUGGCCAUAAACUGGCCCUAAAACUGGCCAUAAACAAAAUCUCUGCAGCACUGUGACAUGUUCAUGAUGGUCAUAACGUCCACGCUGGAAGGUUGUGGGUUUACUGGAAUGAGGGCAAGGAACACCUGGCCCACCCAGGGUGGAAAACCGCUUAAAGCCAUUCUUAAACCACAAACAAUACCAUGAGCGAUCUGUGCCUUAAGGACAUGCUCCUGCUGCAGAUAACUAGCCCAACCGAUCCCAUUAUUUCGGCCCAUCCCUUCGUUUCCCAUAAGGGAUACUUUUAGUUAAUCUAAUAUCUAUAGAAACAAUGCUAAUGACUGGCUUACUCUUAAUAAAUAACGUGGGUAAAUCUCUGUUCGGGGGUCUCAGCUCUGAAGGCUGUGAGACCCCUGAUUUCCCACUUCACACCUCUAUAUUUCUGUGUGUGUGUCCUUAAUUCCUCUAGCGCCGCUGGGCUAGGGUCUCCCUGACUGAGCUGGUCUUGGCAAGUGGCAUCCAUCUUGGGGCCACAAAUACAGGUUGAAGGGUUGCCAGAGCGAUGGUUGGAGAACGUGGAACUAGCUGGAGGACACCCGAGUACUCUUAAAGCAAUCCCCGGGGUGAGUAAGAAGGGGAGCUCAGAAGCAUCAGGGUAACAAUGGGACAAGUGUGGGCUGUGGUUCAUUCCACCUUUUGGAACUUUUUCACACUGAUGGGGAGGAGGAAGGAGAGUAUAACAAAGUAACAGAAGAGGUUACAGAGCAGGUUUAUUUGCCAGCUAAAGCUAAAGCAGCAAAGGAGGGAGAGGUUCAUCCCUACCCUUCUGCACUCCCUCCUUAUUAUUUUGAAGAAAAAGACCCUCCAGAUCUUUCUUUUCCAGAGGACACUGGGCAAAAAGUAGUUGCCCCAGUGACUGUUCAAGCAGCGCCUCAAGUGACUGCUCUUAGUUCUAUUCAGGCAGAAAUUCAGCAAGCUAGAUGAGAGGGUGAUAUAGAGGCUUGGCAGUUACCUGUUAGAAUACACCCCCCAGAUCAACAGGGAAAUAUUAUAGCUACAGUUGAGCCUUUUCCUUUUAAAUUCGGGAAAGCACAUUUAGUUGAUUAUAUCAAGGCCUGUGAUAGUAUCAGAGGUAAUCUGCAUAAAGCUACUUUUUUGGCAUAGGCAGUGGCAGGACUGAGAGUGGAUAAAGGAAAUACUCCAUUUCCUGGAGCUUGUUUUAAUUGUGGGAAGCAUGGUCAUACUAAAAAAGAAUGUAGAAAAAAUCAGCGAGUCAGGCCGCCAGAUAGGGGAAAAAAGAAAACUGCUGAGCCUGAAAUAUGUCCAAAAUGUAAAAAAGGAAAACAUUGGGCUAAUCAGUGUUACUCUAAGUUUGAUAAAAAUGGGAACCCAAUUUCAGGAAACGCCAUGAGGGGCCCAUCCUGGGCCCGUUCUAAACCGGGGCAUUUCUAGCUCAGGCCAUUCCCUUACCCCUAUACAAUGUCUGUCCCCCGCCACAGCCGGUAGUGCCACAGUAGAUUUAUGCUGCACAAAAGCUGUGAGCCUUCUGCCUGGGGAAACCCCGCAAAAGGUCCCAACAGGAGUCUGUGGACCCUUGCCAGCAGGGACGAUAGGAUUACUUUUAGGAAUGUCUAGUUUAAAUUUAAAAGGGGUCCAAAUACAUACAGGAGUCACUGAUUCAGAUUACAAUGGGGAAAUUCAAAUUGUUACAUCUACUUCUGUUCUCUGGAAAGCAGAGCCAGGAGAGCAUAUAGCACAGCUCCUGAUUGUGUCGUAUGUGGGAAUAGGAAAAAGUGAAAUUAAACGAACAGGAGGAUUUGGAAGCACAAAUAAACAAGGCAAAACAGCUUAUUGGGUGAAUCAAAUUACUGAUAAACAUCCUACCUGUGAAGUAACUAUUCAGGGAAAGAAAUUUAAAGGUUUGGUAGAUACAGGAGUGGACAUUUCAAUCGUUUCUCUACAGCACUGGCCGUCCGCGUGGCCAAUUCCACCCACUCAAUUUAACAGAGUUGGAGUUGGUAAAGCCCCUGAAGUAUAUCAAAGUAGUUAUAUUUUGCAUUGUGAAGGGCCUGAUGGACAACCUGAGACUAUUCAACCAAUUAUAACUUCUGUACCUAUAAAUUUAUAAGGGAGAAAUUUAUUACAACAAUGGGGAGCACAAGUUCUAAUUCCAGAACAAUUAUAUAGCCCUCAAAGUCAACAUACAAUGCAUGAAAUGGAGUAUGUCCCUGGUAUGGGACUAGAAAAAAAUUUGCAAAGUUUGAAAAAACUGCUUCAAGCGGAAAGACAAAGUUCCUGCCAAAGAUUAGGAUAUCAUUUUUGAUGGUGGCCAUUGUUAAGCCUCCAGAACCUAUACCUUUAAAAUGGUUAACAGAUAAGCCAAUUUGGAUAGGACAGUGGCCGCUAAGUAAAGAGAAACUGGAGGCUUUAGAGAAAUUAGUUACUGAACAAUUAGAAAAUGAGCACGUAACUCCAACAUUUUCCCCUUGGAAUUCUCCAGUUUUCGUAAUUAAGAAAAAAUGAGGUAAAUGGAGACUGUUAACUGACUUAAGAGCCAUCAAUUCAGUUAUAUAACCUAUGGGAGCAUUACAGCCAGGAUUGCCUUCUCCUGCUAUAAUUCCAAAAAAUUGGCCUUUAAUAGUCAUAGAUUUAAAAGACUGUUUCUUUACUAUCCCUUUAGCUAAGCAAGACUGUCAAUGGUUUGCAUUUACAAUUUCUGCAGUAAACAAACUGCAGCCUGCUAAGUAUUUUCAUUGUUUUACAGAUGGGUCUAGUAAUGGUAAAGCUUCUUAUUCUGGCUUGAAAAGUAAAGUUUUUCAGACGCCCAAUACUUUAGCUCAAAAAGAGCUUGUAGCUGUAAUUGAGGUAUUGACUGCUUUUGAUAUGCCUAUUAAUGGGAUUUCUGAUUCUUCAUAUGUGGUUCAUUCCACACAGUUAAUUAAAAAUGCUCAGUUACUAUUUCAUACAGAUAAACAACUGAUGACAAAAACAAAAAAGGGGGAGAAAUAGGCAUUACGGGACAGCCCAUACACAACUGAAUCUAGCAUUAUUAACUUUAAAUUUUUUGAGCCUGCCCAAAGGCCAGAUGUUAUCAGCAGCUGAACAGCAUCUACAGAAACCAGCUGCAAAGACAGAAGCAGAACAACUGGUUUGGUGGAGAGAUCCAAUAACAAAAAGUUGGGAAAUAGGUAAAAUAAUAACUUGGGGUAGAGGUUAUGCUUGUGUUUCUCCAGGCCAAAAUCAACAGCUGAUUUGGAUACCAUCAAGACACCUGAAACCUUAUCAUGAGCCAGAUUCCGGGAGGAUCCCGAGGACCCCUCAGUUGCAGCCAUGUUGAGACUGAUGGCUGAGGAGGACCCCAACUGUCACAAGCAACACCCGUCUAACACAGCCACCCACCUGGGGACAGAUCAAGAAGCUGUCACAGAUGGCGGAAGAAAACCUGAGGAAAGCGGGACAGCCAGUCACAAUGGGUAAUUUAAUGGUAGCUAUGAUAGCGGUGAUCACCAUUGCCGUAAGUAUUCCUUCAACAAGAGCUGACACAGAGAACAAUUAUUCUUAUUGGGCAUAUUUAUCAAUCUUGGCUGGCAAUAAUGCCUGGAUGUAAUCACUCUAUCACACAGUUACACAUGCUUUCUGAUCUCAGUAUUUACCAUAAUAAAUCUGCUCCUAUAAUUGAGGCAUACCGCCCUCAAAAACCUAUUUGUACACAGGAUUGGACCCAGUUAGACAAAAUGAACAUACUUGUUUAGGAAGAUUGCAUUGCAGAACAGGCAGAGGUGCUGCACAACGAUUCCUAUGGAAUCAUUAUUAAUUGGUCCCCUAAGGGGAUGUUUAGCUUGAAUUGCACCUCUCAGUCUGUGUGCCACUGCUACACUAUGUUUAGAUGAUCUGAACAAAAUGGUCAGAUGGUAGAAAUGAUAAAAAGUACGGCAAGAGUUCCUCUUAUCUGAAACCAUGGCGGUAUAGUGGCACCUCAACCUCAGAUGAUAUGGCCCGUUGUAGGAGCUAAACAUAAGAUAAGGAUUUGUGGCUUAAUAAGAUCAAAAAUUUGGGAAAGAAUAAAAAAGCAUCUAGAAAGACACUCUACAAAUUUGUCUUUAGAUAUUGCAAAAUUAAAAGAACAAAUAUUUAAAGCAUCCCAGGCACACCUGACCUUAAUGCCAGGAACUGGAGUGCUUGAAGGAGCUGCAGACAGAUUAGCAGCUAGUAACCCAUUAAAAUGGAUAAAAACACUUGGAAGCUCUGUGAUUUCAAUGAUGAUUGUGCUUUUAAUUUGUGUUGUUUGUAUAGUCUGCAGAUGCGGAUCCUGACUCCCGCGAGAAGUAGCUCACCAUGACAAAGCUGCCUUGGCUUUUAUUGCUUUGCAAAUCAAAGAAGGGGAACAUGUUGGGAACAGCACCCCCCCCCCCAAAAUCUGGCCAUAAACUGGCCCCAAAACUGGCCAUAAACAAAAUCUCUGCAGCAUUGUGACAUGUUCAUGAUGGCCAUGACACCCACGCUGGAAGGUUGUGGGUUUACUGGAAUGAGGGCAAGGAACACCUGGCCCACCCAGAGCGGAAAACCGCUUAAAGGCAUUCUUAAACCACAAACAAUAGCAUGAGCGAUCUGUGCCUUAAGGACAUGCUCCUGCUGCAGAUAACUAGCCAAACCCAUCCCUUUAUUUCGGCCCAUCCCUUCAUUUCCCAUAAGGGAUACUUUUAGUUAAUCUAAUAUCUAUAGAAACAAUGCUAAUGUCUGGCUUGCUGUUAAUAAAUACGUGGGUAAAUCUCUGUUCGGGGCUCUCAGCUCUGAAGGCUGUGAGACCCCUGAUUUCCCACUUCACACCUCUAUAUUUCUGUGUGUGUGUCUUUAAUUCCUCUAGCGCCACUGGGUUAGGGUUUCGCCAGCCAAGCUGGUCUUGCCAUUUCCUGAGGCCUCCCCAGCCAAGCUGAACUGUGAGUCAGUUAAACCUCUUUCUUUUAUAAAUUACCCAGUCUCUGGCAGUUCUUCAUAGCAGUAUGAAAACGGACUAAUACAGGAUCUCACUCUGUGUCACCCAGGCUGGAGUGCAGUGGUGCUCAGGCAAGCCACAGUCCUUUUGCCUCAGCCUCCCAAAUAGCUGGGACUACAGGUGCGUGCCACCAUGCCCAGCUAGUUUUUUUUUUUUUUUUUUAUCUUUGUAGAGAUGGUUUCUCACUAUAUUGCCCAGGCUGGUCUUGAACCCUUGGCCUCAACAUCUCAGGUGAUCCUCCACCUCAGCCUCCCAAAGCACUCACUGGAAUUACAGGUAUGAGUCACCAUGCCUGACAGACAGACAGACAUAUAUAUAUAUGUGUGUGUGUUUUUUUUGAGACGAGGUCACACUCUGUCACCCAGGUUGGAGUGCAGAGGCACAAUCUCAGGUCACUGCAACCUUUGCCUCCCAGGCUCAAGGGAUCCUCCCACCUCAGCCUCCCUAGUAGCUGGGGCCACUGGCAUGAGCCACCACGCCCAGCCAAUUUUUUGUAUUUUUGGAAGAGACAGAGUUUUGCCAUGUUGCCCAGCCUGGUCACGUACUCCUGAGCGCAGACGAUCCUCCCACCUCAGCCUCCCAAAGUUCUGGGAUUACUGGUGUGAGCCACCGUGCCCG
RNAcentral lists this long non-coding RNA (16468 nucleotides) under Homo sapiens (human). RNAcentral describes it as "long non-coding RNA NONHSAT165291.1". The record is from RNAcentral. Lineage: Eukaryota; Metazoa; Chordata; Mammalia; Primates; Hominidae.